This 760-nucleotide ribosomal RNA is filed under the name Aspergillus flavus. Its description in RNAcentral is "eukaryotic LSU rRNA". The stretch from base 468 to 760 matches the Rfam family "Eukaryotic large subunit ribosomal RNA", at positions 1 to 290 of the family's 3401-position model. Lineage: Eukaryota; Fungi; Ascomycota; Eurotiomycetes; Eurotiales; Aspergillaceae. The record is from RNAcentral.
UUUACUUGUACCUUAGUUGCUUCGGCGGGCCCGCCAUUCAUGGCCGCCGGGGGCUCUCAGCCCCGGGCCCGCGCCCGCCGGAGACACCACGAACUCUGUCUGAUCUAGUGAAGUCUGAGUUGAUUGUAUCGCAAUCAGUUAAAACUUUCAACAAUGGAUCUCUUGGUUCCGGCAUCGAUGAAGAACGCAGCGAAAUGCGAUAACUAGUGUGAAUUGCAGAAUUCCGUGAAUCAUCGAGUCUUUGAACGCACAUUGCGCCCCCUGGUAUUCCGGGGGGCAUGCCUGUCCGAGCGUCAUUGCUGCCCAUCAAGCACGGCUUGUGUGUUGGGUCGUCGUCCCCUCUCCGGGGGGGACGGGCCCCAAAGGCAGCGGCGGCACCGCGUCCGAUCCUCGAGCGUAUGGGGCUUUGUCACCCGCUCUGUAGGCCCGGCCGGCGCUUGCCGAACGCAAAUCAAUCUUUUCCAGGUUGACCUCGGAUCAGGUAGGGAUACCCGCUGAACUUAAGCAUAUCAAUAAGCGGAGGAAAAGAAACCAACCGGGAUUGCCUCAGUAACGGCGAGUGAAGCGGCAAGAGCUCAAAUUUGAAAGCUGGCUCCUUCGGGGUCCGCAUUGUAAUUUGCAGAGGAUGCUUCGGGUGCGGCCCCUGUCUAAGUGCCCUGGAACGGGCCGUCAGAGAGGGUGAGAAUCCCGUCUGGGAUGGGGUGUCCGCGCCCGUGUGAAGCUCCUUCGACGAGUCGAGUUGUUUGGGAAUGCAGCUCUA